CGCAUCUGUGCAUGCAGCAUAUCAAUAAGCGGAGGAAAAGAAACUAACAAGGAUUCCCCUAGUAACGGCGAGUGAAGCGGGAAGAGCUCAAAUUUGAAAUCUUAAAGGGUUUCCCUUUACGAAUUGUAGUUUAAAGAAGUGUUUUCUGUUGAGGUUUUGGUAAAUGUUCUUUGGAAUAGGACAUCAUAGAGGGUGAGAAUCCCGUAUUUGACCUUUACUUUCAACUUUGUGAUACACUUUCAAAGAGUCGGAUUGUUUGGGAAUGCAGUCCAAAAUGGGUGGUAAAUUUCAUCUAAAGCUAAAUAUUGGCGAGAGACCGAUAGCGAACAAGUACCGUGAGGGAAAGAUGAAAAGAACUUUGAAAAGAGAGUUAAACAGUACGUGAAAUUGUCAAAAGGGAAGCGUUUGACACCAGUGUUGUUUUUCUGAAAAUCAAUUAAAGAACUGUUUAUGCUAAGUUGUUUAGACUUUAUCAGCUAACUGUUUAGUUUUGAGCUUUUCUUUAAUGCACUUUUCAGUUAACAAGUCAACAUCAAUUUCUUUUGCUGUAAAAAGCUUGAGGAAGGUGGCCUGAGAUCCGUCUUAAGUGUUUAUAGCCUCUUGCCUAUGCAGUCGGAGAGAUUGAGGUCUGCAGCGUAGAUCCUUCGGGGCUAAAUGCAUUUGUGCUAAGUUAUAGCAUUUUAUAGACAACUUGUUGACUAUGAUUUGUCUUGUAGCUUACUCGCUUAUGUUAUUUUACCUACGCUUAGGAUGUUGAACGCGCACAGGUCUC
RNAcentral lists this ribosomal RNA (772 nucleotides) under uncultured Neocallimastigales. RNAcentral describes it as "partial large subunit ribosomal RNA". It matches the Rfam family "Eukaryotic large subunit ribosomal RNA", at positions 26 to 641 of the family's 3401-position model. Lineage: Eukaryota; Fungi; Neocallimastigomycota; Neocallimastigomycetes; Neocallimastigales. The record is from RNAcentral.